This is a long non-coding RNA of Halichondria panicea, 1030 nucleotides long. RefSeq lists it as uncharacterized. NCBI's taxonomy places the organism in Eukaryota, Metazoa, Porifera, Demospongiae, Suberitida, Halichondriidae. The record is from RefSeq and is a predicted model, not a curated record. The transcript is spliced from 2 exons.
AAGACCUGCAUAGAACAAGAUAUUGGUGACCGAUUAAUAUUUCCUGUGAGUAGCAACACCCACGGGGACCAAGUUAUAAGUAUACCUAGCCUCGAUCCCAGGCCGAGUUUUCGCUUUUAUAACGGUUAGGCGAACAACUGGGCCUGGUACUAGUUGUCUGCGCAUGCGUCAAUCGUUCGUCAGAUUCUGACGAAUGGAUAUUCUCGUUCACUUUUGUGACAUUUAUAUUCGUGUACUAUCGUGUACUAGAAGUCAGUUCCCGUUUUAUCAUUAUUGGAAUCGAUUGGAAUGGCUCUUAGCUGAAGCUUCUCUCUUCUCUGAAGCUUAUUCUGAAGACUGAACAACAAGGGAAAAGGUAUAAAGCUUUGUCAAGCUUGUUAAGGUCAGAUAUUUUUGUGUGGGUCCUAUGGCCGGCUAUGCUAUCAAGUCUUGUUCAUGUUUGGCAAGAAUAUCGAAUGUAGGUAGACUAUAGUUUCAUCAUUAAUAUGGUGGAUCAAGUGAAGAGUGUGAGCUAGAGAACUUGGUGCUGCCAUCAUCAGCUCGUCGACAAUGACACUAUAACCGAGAAAUUUAAUAUGUAUAGAUCUACACGUAUUUAAAAUGUCUACUUCUCUGUACAGGAGCAAUGGCUAAUAUCCAGCUAUCCCAACAGUGCUCCUCUUGGCUAUACUAACGGACGAGACUGGACAGUUUGAGACACAGGACUGGAGUAUGACCUGCUCAUUCGAGCGUUGCUGGGUAGCUCAGAGACAUCAAGAGAAUCUACGUUUUCUCAAGCAAUGAGUUACGAGUUGGUGCCUAGAAUCAGAGAAGUCCAGCAGCCUGCUAAAUCUUUUUGAAACGUAAUUUGAAGGCAUUCAAUCAUCCUGAAGUUGCCCUGGGUCACUGUAAUUGUGCUGCAGCACAACUGGCAACUCCCCAGGCCUUUGUGAAGCAGCUCCCUAUGUGCAUCUUUUGUGUACUCACUCUGUGCAUUUUCUGUGUACAAAUUUCAAUUAUUGAUUUAUUAAAUAUUUUUGCCGACCACAAA